This 491-nucleotide ribosomal RNA is filed under the name uncultured bacterium. RNAcentral's name for it is "partial 16S ribosomal RNA". It matches the Rfam family "Bacterial small subunit ribosomal RNA", at positions 28 to 507 of the family's 1533-position model. The record is from RNAcentral.
GAUGAACGCUAGCUACAGGCUUAACACAUGCAAGUCGAGGGGAAACGACAUUGAAGCUUGCUUCGAUGGUCGUCGACCGGCGCACGGGUGAGUAACGCGUAUCCAACCUGCCUCUGACCAAGGGAUAACCCGUCGAAAGUCGGCCUAAUACCUUAUGCAGUCGUCGGAAGUCAUCUGAUGACGACGAAAGAUUUCAUCGGUGAGAGAUGGGGAUGCGUCUGAUUAGCUUGUUGGCGGGGUAACGGCCCACCAAGGCAACGAUCAGUAGGGGUUCUGAGAGGAAGGUCCCCCACAUUGGAACUGAGACACAGUCCAAACUCCUACGGGAGGCAGCAGUGAGGAAUAUUGGUCAAUGGGCGAGAGCCUGAACCAGCCAAGUAGCGUGCAGGAGGACGGCCCUAGGGGUUGUAAACUGCUUUUAUGCGGGGAUAAAGUGAGGGACGUGUCCUUCAUUGCAGGUACCGCAUGAAUAAGGACCGGCUAAUUCCGUG